RNA transcript from Olea europaea var. sylvestris, 3424 nucleotides. It is a transcript of the gene named la protein 1-like, with no coding region annotated. Lineage: Eukaryota; Viridiplantae; Streptophyta; Magnoliopsida; Lamiales; Oleaceae. The transcript has 5 exons. The record is from RefSeq and is a predicted model, not a curated record.
AAAAACCGCAAGUCCACGUGGACCCAAACUAACGGUUUCAAAUCAACGUUUUCGGUUCGAUUUGCGAUUUCACGAUUUUUUUGUGCAGUCCCAUGGAAAAAUAAGUUUGAUUGCAGCAAAAUAAACUGAACUCUUCAACCUGAACUAAACUUCUCCACCUCACGAAAAAUUACUCUUCCUUUUCCUCUUCCACAGUAUCCACAAAUAAUACCCGAACCCAAAGAUCGGGUUUCCAAAAUUCCCACAAGGAAUCCAUAAUAUACCAAACAAGGUCGAAGUAUACCUUGUAGUAGAAUCAACUCCAAAAGCAUGCACAACCAAAUCAGCAUCUCGUACCUAUCUCCAAUAGUCUAUCACUAGUAGUUGAACACGUUGAACUGCGAACAAUGGUGACAAGAUGGAAUUACCCAUAUCCUCCAAACUCGAUUUAGUAGUAUUCUUCAAUAUGGGCCCAGAGUCAAAUCCCAAAGGUAUAAUGCCAAAUCGAAUCUCCACCACGGUACUAAACCUGUGCUGACUUUUCUUCAUCGAUUCUGUCUGACCUUGCAAGAUGUAUAAUGGGACCUCUUCCGCCCCUCUAAUUCAACAUGGACACCCUUCUGAACUCUCAAGACUCCACUUUUUCCAGAAAAUUUAUAACCCUUCGAAUCAAGGGUACUCAUCGAGAUGAGAUUUUUCUUCAAAUCUGAAACAUGUCAAACCUGGCCAAGUGUUCUAAUUGUUCCAUCCAUCAACUUCGAUCUGAUCGUGCCAAUACCAACUACCCGACAAGGUUCAUUGUUUUUUAUGACAACGACACAUUGCAUCACCAUUUCAUAUGCUUCAAACAAAUCACUAUUUGGACACAUAUGAAAUGCAUAUGCAGUAUCCAAAAUUCACUCAUCGUCAAAUUUGGAUUCCACGUCAGAAAUCGUUGAGAUAUCUCCAUCACUCAAAUAGUCCUAAACUAUGUUGGUCUCGUAAAAAAUGUUUGAUUGCUUUCCCUAAUUUGCAGUCGAAGUACCUUCAUUCUACAAUUUUUUAUAAUAUCUCUUAAUGUGUCUUUUCUUGCAAUAAUAGCAAACCUGAUUACUGAAACUCAACCUUGACUUACCCCUUCAUCAAUCACCAUAAACCACAAGACCUCAUUCAACUCUGGACUCAGAUCUAUUUAGAUACUUUAUCUUUUCCUUUGAGAAAAGGACAUCAAAUACGUCUUCAAUGGUGAGAGUAUUACGACUAUACAAAAUCAUGUCCCUAAAUAAAGUAUAUGAAGCGGGCAACGAAUACAAUGGGAUUAAGGCCAAAUCUUCUUCAUCAUACUUUACCUCUUAUGUCUCUAAAUCAGCGAAAAUCUCCUUGAAAAAAACUAGAUGAUUUUCCAAAUAUCCGCUUUCUAUCAUGUGAUGAGAAUACAAUCUCUACUUCAGAUGCAAGUUGCUCUUCAGACUUUUGAUCAUGCACAAUUACUCUAGCUUCACUGCCAUAACGAAAAUCUUGUAUUGCGAUCCAAAAGUGAUAUUUCAUAAUUCAUGGUUUGGCCAUUGAUAACAAAAAACCACAAUCAAUUGCUCUGAUACCACCUGUUGGGAUCCUUGACAAGAAUUAUAUAUGUUCUGAUACCACUUGUUGGGAACAGAGAGACAAGUAUGACACGAUAUUAAGUAUUGAUUGUAUAAGAAAUAACAAGAUUAAAGAAAGAAGAGAGAUUAGCAAAGGAACCUGAUAGUUUUAUUAAUUGACAAUCAUUGGAGAGAAAAAUACAAUUUCAGCAACACAUAAUCUGGAAGAAGAGUCAAUUAUAUAUAGGGACAAUUCAAGCCCUAGAAGAAGAGUUGUGGAUGUGAUAGAAUGUUCAGAAUUUCCUUAUUUUGAUCUCUUUAAAUCCAACACAAAUUUCAACUUCCAGUAGGACUUCCAAAUGGAACUUCAACUAUAAUUUCCCAAUAGUCUUCGAAUAGGAUUCCAAAAGCAUUCCAAAUAGAUUUUUUUCUUAAUCUAUACUUUAAUUAGAAUUCUCAAUUAUCUUCAUCAAAGAAUUCGGGUCACACUCAAAUUAUAACUAUAAAUAAAGUGAAGAUUGAACGGUUUAGUUUAAGGAGUGCCUGCGAAUGCAUUUCUUGGGAGGAUUUAAUGUUAUUUGUGUCAUUGAAAUUUCUAUUAUGGAAUAAUGGUUGACUCGCUUAAUUAAAUAUAAGACACGGGCUUGUCUAAUAAGACCAGGAGUCUGCUACAUGGUUCUCUGAUGGAAGCAACGAAGAGGAAGGGCUCCAAAAGUAGGCCGAGGUCUCUAAAUCCGUCCUUUGGAAGAGAUGAACAACUAUUCAUCUGGUCUUGGAAGAUGCAAAGAUAGAAAUGUGUCUGAAGACACAUUUAAAGCUGUUGCUGAAACUCUAAGAACCUCUACUUUCCUUAAGGUUUAUGAGGAUGGUAAGAAAAUUAGUAGAGUUACCGAGCUAGCGAAGCCGGAUGAGGUUAUAAAGCAACUGGAGGUCAAAACAAUUGUUACCUCACCACUGGAGUAUUGUGUGAAAGUUGAGCUGCUAUGGCUAUGUAAAUUUUUUGUCAACUACUAUGCUGUUCAAAGGAUUUGUUUUGGGUAAACAAGACUGGAGUGUUACUAGAUCAGUUUUGUACUUCAAGCGAGACUCCAUCAUCAGUGUGGACUUCACAAGUACAAAAUGAAGGAAUUAUUUCAAGAGUCAAAAUUAUGUUCCUAUCGACUUUGAAAGGUUUGGCAUUUAUGGCAAUUGGGUGUUAGAGGAAGAGCCACCAACUUUGGUAGAUGAUGAGUUGGAGGUAUUUCGUCGUGAAUUGAGUGCAUGUACUAUACAAAGUGACAAAAAUGACGGUAAUUGUUCGAUUAAUGCUAAUGUUUCUUCUUCAUAUUAAAGUAUAUAUGAUGUAACAAUGAAUUUUAAAACUUUUUUUCUAGAUGAAUUAUAUUUUGAUGAUCUUGAUCUUGAUUGUUGUGAAAGUUUUGGCAACGGCAAUGAAAAUACAAGUGAUACAAACAAUGGAAAUGAGGAUUUUAGCAUGAUCGAGACUCCGUCAUUUAUACAAGACGAAAGAAUUGAAGAAUUUAUGUCCGAGACCCUAGCAUGGAUGCGCUCCAACUCUUCUUAAUUAAGAAAAUAUUGAUUUAUCUCAAAUAAUUUAAUUCGUUGACAUGUUCUUUAUCCACAAAUGACUUUUAAAUGAUGGCUUUAAUUUUGUUAGAUAAAGUUGUUUUUUUUUUAAUUUUUAUCAUUGAAUGUUAUUUUAAUCGUUUCAAAUGCAUAUUUAAUUAGACAUGAUUUAGAAUUUGUGUUAUUUGGGAUACAUAUUGAUCUUUAGUUAACAAAAUGAUAUGAGGUUAAUUUAGUUAUCACUACUAUAUAAAAAGGACAAUGUUAGUCAUUGUAGAAAGAACAAUAGAUUCUUCCAUUUUCACACACUGUAGCAA